GACGAACGCUGGCGGCGUGCUUAACACAUGCAAGUCGAACGCUGAAGCUCAGCUUUUGUUGGGUGGAUGAGUGGCGAACGGGUGAGUAACACGUGAGUAACCUGCCUCCUUCUUUGGGAUAACGCCCGGAAACGGGUGCUAAUACUGGAUAUUCACUGGUCUUCGCAUGGGGGUUGGUGGAAAGGGUUUUUCUGGUGGGGGAUGGGCUCGCGGCCUAUCAGCUUGUUGGUGGGGUGAUGGCCUACCAAGGCUUUGACGGGUAGCCGGCCUGAGAGGGUGACCGGUCACAUUGGGACUGAGAUACGGCCCAGACUCCUACGGGAGGCAGCAGUGGGGAAUAUUGCACAAUGGGCGCAAGCCUGAUGCAGCGACGCCGCGUGAGGGAUGGAGGCCUUCGGAUUGUGAACCUCUUUCGCUCAUGGUCAAGCCGCAACAAUGGUUGUGGUGAGGGUAGUGGGUAAAGAAGCGCCGGCUAACUACGUG
RNAcentral lists this ribosomal RNA (483 nucleotides) under uncultured bacterium. Its description in RNAcentral is "partial 16S ribosomal RNA". It matches the Rfam family "Bacterial small subunit ribosomal RNA", at positions 28 to 507 of the family's 1533-position model. The record is from RNAcentral.